This 500-nucleotide ribosomal RNA is filed under the name uncultured bacterium. Its description in RNAcentral is "partial 16S ribosomal RNA". It matches the Rfam family "Bacterial small subunit ribosomal RNA", at positions 30 to 523 of the family's 1533-position model. The record is from RNAcentral.
AUUGAACGCUGGCGGAAUGCUUUACACAUGCAAGUCGAACGGCAGCACGGACUUCGGUCUGGUGGCGAGUGGCGAACGGGUGAGUAAUGUAUCGGAACGUGCCCAGUCGUGGGGGAUAACGUAGGGAAAAUUACGCUAAUACCGCAUACGAUCUAUGGAUGAAAGCGGGGGAUCGCAAGACCUCGCGCGAUUGGAGCGGCCGAUAUCAGAUUAGGUCGUUGGUGGGGUAAAGGCCCACCAAGCCAACGAUCUGUAGCUGGUCUGAGAGGACGACCAGCCACACUGGAACUGAGACACGGUCCAGACUCCUACGGGAGGCAGCAGUGGGGAAUUUUGGACAAUGGGCGAAAGCCUGAUCCAGCCAUUCCGCGCGCAGGAUGAAGGCCCUCGGGUUGUAAACUGCUUUUGUACAGAACGAAAAGGUUUCUACUAAUACUAGGAGCUCAUGACGGUACUGUAAGAAUAAGCACCGGCUAACUACGUGCCAGCCGCCGCGGUAA